This 1418-nucleotide long non-coding RNA is filed under the name Sus scrofa (pig). Its description in RNAcentral is "lncRNA (ENSSSCG00065037922.1)". The record is from RNAcentral. Lineage: Eukaryota; Metazoa; Chordata; Mammalia; Artiodactyla; Suidae.
GAGCACCCUCCUGAGGCCGCAGAACCCAGCACGCCUCGGCGGGGGAGGGAGGAGGGGCCGAGGGGGCGGGCCCAGGCCAGUUCCCAGUUACAAAUACAGCAGCUCCCGGGAGGCCGAGGAGGAGAGUUUCGCCCCCAAACACGUAGAUCACUCACCCGAGGCGCCUUGUUUUCCACUCUUGGGUCCUGCAGUUUCCCCAGGAUCCCGUGACGCACUGGCCCAGUUGGCCAGCGUGGUGGCGGGGUGUGCCCGAGAGUCUUGAGGAGACCCCCCUCCUCCCAUGUGGCUUAGUCUGGCCUGGCCAAAAUCCACCAGAAGAGAGCCCAGAGGCUGUCUCAACCCUUCCGAUGGGAGCAAGGCGCAGGAUCGUCGGAGGAUCGCCCUCCUCCUGGAAAGUUAAGAAGAUGGGGAGAUGAAGGUACUCAGGAGGUCGCACAUAUUCGAUAUCAGGCUUGAGCUGAGUCACCUGACUGUACACAGAACAUAUAUGCAGCUGUACCCGAAUACGUACCCGAGAAUUAGAGGAACACUAACAGCAGGAUCGGAAGAAAAAAAGAAGUGUUCGCAGACAGAAUUAUUCCAAUGCACGGGUGCACAUCAAGUUGUCCAGAUGCAGACAAAAGCUGUGGUGCCCACAAGGAAUGACCCCAGCCACAGGCAGAUGUGCAGGAAGCCACACACAGGGAGAGCCUGAAGGAGGAUGCAGGACUCGGGGCCAAGGGCUUCCUGCUAGAGGGACGUUGGCUUCCAAGGGUGAAACUGUUGAGCCAACCAGUUAAAGGUUUCAGGUCAAGUCCUGGAGACUAGAAAGAGCACACCGUCCAUCCACCGCUGAUCCUUUUGCCUUCCACUAAGCUGGGCUUUAGACACUCAGAAGAGGGCAACCCAGGAAAGAAUCAUUUUGAUUCGGGUUAUUUAUUUGUUACUAUUGUUGGUUAAGGAGAUUGUGUUCUGAAGAAGGAUGGGUGGGGAGCAUAGAUGGAUGCCCUAACUCAAUGCUGGGAGAUUCCUAAUUCUUAAUGGGAACAUUCGGCUCCAACGAGGGUUCAAGAAGCCAGGGGCCCUUAUUUUGCCUCUUUCUCACCUUUCAUUGCUAAAUGCAGUCCUUAAAAAGAACCUUCGCCUAGCUCCACGCCCUCCUGUCCUCACUUCCAUCCCAAUCCCCUUUAUAUCAAAUAUGUCCACAAAAGAACACUCCCAAGCAAACUGAACUAUUUUAUUACACUAAUUUUCUUUGUGGGAUAUUGGGGUAUUCUCACCCCCUCCUACCCAUUUCCAAACAGAAGCCACCAUCCUGAGAGUUUCAAAGAGUGGCUGUUCCAAAAGGCCUUAGCAAGUGCACAGGCUUGAUGCUGCCUUCAGCUCCUUUUGCCUUCCAGACAGUAGCCACCACGAGUUUCCCCGCAGAAGAGGCAGGC